UACGGGGGGGCAAGCGUUGUUCGGAAUUACUGGGCGUAAAGGGUUUGUAGGUGGCCAACUAAGUCAGACGUGAAAUCCCUCAGCUUAACCGGGGAACUGCGUCCGAUACUGGAUGGCUUGAGUUCGGGAGAGGGAUGCGGAAUUCCAGGUGUAGCGGUGAAAUGCGCAGAUAUCAGGAGGAACACCGGUGGCGAAGGCGGGACUCUGGGCCGAUACUGACGCUGAGGAGCGAAAGCGUGGGGAGCAAACAGG
Molecule: ribosomal RNA, 252 nt
Filed under: uncultured bacterium
Lineage: Bacteria
Description: partial 16S ribosomal RNA
Rfam family: Bacterial small subunit ribosomal RNA
Source: RNAcentral